AUUGAACGCUGGCGGCAGGCCUAACACAUGCAAGUCGAGCGGAUGAAGGGAGCUUGCUCCUGGAUUCAGCGGCGGACGGGUGAGUAAUGCCUAGGAAUCUGCCUGGUAGUGGGGGAUAACGUCCGGAAACGGGCGCUAAUACCGCAUACGUCUUGAGGGAGAAAGUGGGGGAUCUUCGGACCUCACGCUAUCAGAUGAGCCUAGGUCGGAUUAGCUAGUUGGUGGGGUAAAGGCCUACCAAGGCGACGAUCCGUAACUGGUCUGAGAGGAUGAUCAGUCACACUGGAACUGAGACACGGUCCAGACUCCUACGGGAGGCAGCAGUGGGGAAUAUUGGACAAUGGGCGAAAGCCUGAUCCAGCCAUGCCGCGUGUGUGAAGAAGGUCUUCGGAUUGUAAAGCACUUUAAGUUGGGAGGAAGGGCAGUAAGUUAAUACCUUGCUGUUUUGACGUUACCAGCAGAAUAAGCACCGGCUAACUUCGUG
This 484-nucleotide ribosomal RNA is filed under the name uncultured bacterium. Its description in RNAcentral is "partial 16S ribosomal RNA". It matches the Rfam family "Bacterial small subunit ribosomal RNA", at positions 30 to 507 of the family's 1533-position model. The record is from RNAcentral.